RNAcentral lists this ribosomal RNA (482 nucleotides) under uncultured bacterium. RNAcentral describes it as "partial 16S ribosomal RNA". It matches the Rfam family "Bacterial small subunit ribosomal RNA", at positions 30 to 507 of the family's 1533-position model. The record is from RNAcentral.
AUUGAACGCUGGCGGCAUGCUUUACACAUGCAAGUCGAACGGUAACAGGCCGCAAGGUGCUGACGAGUGGCGAACGGGUGAGUAAUGCAUCGGAACGUGCCCAGUCGUGGGGGAUAACUACUCGAAAGAGUAGCUAAUACCGCAUACGAUCUAUGGAUGAAAGCGGGGGACCGUAAGGCCUCGCGCGAUUGGAGCGGCCGAUGUCAGAUUAGGUAGUUGGUGGGGUAAAGGCUCACCAAGCCAACGAUCUGUAGCUGGUCUGAGAGGACGACCAGCCACACUGGGACUGAGCCACGGCCCAGACUCCUACGGGAGGCAGCAGUGGGGAAUUUUGGACAAUGGGCGCAAGCCUGAUCCAGCAAUGCCGCGUGCAGGAAGAAGGCCUUCGGGUUGUAAACUGCUUUUGUACGGAACGAAACGGCUCUGGUUAAUACCCGGGGCUAAUGACGGUACCGUAAGAAUAAGCACCGGCUAACUACGUG